UAUAUUUUAAAAUACUAUUGAUUUAGAAUUAUGUGAAAUAGGUAAAUACAAAAAAAAUAUACAUUUAUUAGCAACACUUAUUAUAUUUUCUUAAUAUGUUAUCUUUUAAGAACGGAGAGAGUGUAUUAUAAAAAAAAAUAACAAAUUUAAGUUACAAAUUUGGUUAUAUAUACACAUACUAUGACGUCAAAAUAAGAUAUCAAGCGAAGGUAUCACAAAACAGAACUUUUCAUAACCUGUCUAAACCCCAAUUGCUUACCUAUAUUUUUCUUAUUG
Molecule: long non-coding RNA, 276 nt
Filed under: Brassica napus (rape)
Lineage: Eukaryota; Viridiplantae; Streptophyta; Magnoliopsida; Brassicales; Brassicaceae
Description: long non-coding RNA (BNAP_LNC002247)
Source: RNAcentral